This 253-nucleotide ribosomal RNA is filed under the name uncultured bacterium. Its description in RNAcentral is "partial 16S ribosomal RNA". It matches the Rfam family "Bacterial small subunit ribosomal RNA", at positions 524 to 776 of the family's 1533-position model. The record is from RNAcentral.
UACGGGGGGGGCAAGCGUUGUUCGGAAUUACUGGGCGUAAAGGGCUCGUAGGCGGCCAACUAAGUCAGACGUGAAAUCCCUCGGCUUAACCGGGGAACUGCGUCUGAUACUGGAUGGCUUGAGUUUGGGAGAGGGAUGCGGAAUUCCAGGUGUAGCGGUGAAAUGCGUAGAUAUCUGGAGGAACACCGGUGGCGAAGGCGGCAUCCUGGACCAACACUGACGCUGAGGAGCGAAGGCCAGGGGAGCAAACGGG